Molecule: ribosomal RNA, 492 nt
Filed under: uncultured bacterium
Lineage: Bacteria
Description: partial 16S ribosomal RNA
Rfam family: Bacterial small subunit ribosomal RNA
Source: RNAcentral
AGUGAACGCUGGCGGUAGGCCUAACACAUGCAAGUCGAACGGCAGCACAGUAAGAGCUUGCUCUUACGGGUGGCGAGUGGCGGACGGGUGAGGAAUACAUCGGAAUCUACUUUUUCGUGGGGGAUAACGUAGGGAAACUUACGCUAAUACCGCAUACGACCUGCGGGUGAAAGCAGGGGAUCUUCGGACCUUGCGCGAUUGUAUGAGCCGAUGUCGGAUUAGCUAGUUGGCGGGGUAAAGGCCCACCAAGGCGACGAUCCGUAGCUGGUCUGAGAGGAUGAUCAGCCACACUGGAACUGAGACACGGUCCAGACUCCUACGGGAGGCAGCAGUGGGGAAUAUUGGACAAUGGGCGCAAGCCUGAUCCAGCCAUACCGCGUGGGUGAAGAAGGCCUUCGGGUUGUAAAGCCCUUUUGUUGGGAAAGAAAAGCAGCAGGUUAAUACCCCGCUGUUCUGACGGUACCCAAAGAAUAAGCACCGGCUAACUUCGUG